This 511-nucleotide ribosomal RNA is filed under the name fungal sp. E15622C. Its description in RNAcentral is "eukaryotic LSU rRNA". The stretch from base 161 to 314 matches the Rfam family "5.8S ribosomal RNA". The record is from RNAcentral. Lineage: Eukaryota; Fungi.
AUUACCGAGUUUACAACUCCCAAACCCAUGUGAACAUACCUAUUGUUGCUUCGGCGGGAUUGCCCCGGGCGCCUCGCGUGCCCCGGAUCAGGCGCCCGCCUAGGAACUUUAACUCUUGUUUUAUUUUGAAUCUUCUGAGUAGUUUUUACAAAUAAAUAAAAACUUUCAACAACGGAUCUCUUGGUUCUGGCAUCGAUGAAGAACGCAGCGAAAUGCGAUAAGUAAUGUGAAUUGCAGAAUUCAGUGAAUCAUCGAAUCUUUGAACGCACAUUGCGCCCGCCAGUAUUCUGGCGGGCAUGCCUGUCUGAGCGUCAUUUCAACCCUCAUGCCCCUAGGGCGUGGUGUUGGGGAUCGGCCAAAGCCCGCGAGGGACGGCCGGCCCCUAAAUCUAGUGGCGGACCCGUCGUGGCCUCCUCUGCGAAGUAGUGAUAUUCCGCAUCGGAGAGCGAUGAGCCCCUGCCGUUAAACCCCCAACUUUCCAAGGUUGACCUCAGAUCAGGUAGGAAUACCC